CGACCGGCGCACGGGUGAGCAACACGUAUGCAACCUGGCCGCCACAGGGGAUAACCCGCGGAAACGCGGCCUAAUACCCCGUGACGCCACCGGAGGGCAUCCUCCGGUGGCCAAAGGAGCGAUCCGGUGGCGGAUGGGCAUGCGGCGCAUUAGCUAGACGGCGGGGUGACGGCCCACCGUGGCGACGAUGCGUAGGGGUUCUGAGAGGAAGGCCCCCCACACUGGGACUGAGACACGGCCCAGACUCCUACGGGAGGCAGCAG
RNAcentral lists this ribosomal RNA (263 nucleotides) under uncultured bacterium. RNAcentral describes it as "partial 16S ribosomal RNA". It matches the Rfam family "Bacterial small subunit ribosomal RNA", at positions 92 to 354 of the family's 1533-position model. The record is from RNAcentral.